Alligator sinensis (Chinese alligator) is the source of this 9043-nucleotide long non-coding RNA. RefSeq lists it as uncharacterized. The record is from RefSeq and is a predicted model, not a curated record. The transcript is spliced from 2 exons. Lineage: Eukaryota; Metazoa; Chordata; Crocodylia; Alligatoridae.
GGGGGGGGCAGGAAAAAAAGACAUUGCGUGCUCGAGUCAAAUCCGACGCCUCGACGGGACUGCGACAGCUCUGAAGGGACACCGCCGGAGGGCAGGAAGAAGGUCCUGCCACUGAUGAACGCAGCACGACAACUCGGCACUACUCCGCACCACAGCAUCAGGAGUUCCCGUCCCGGAUAUUUUUUCAGCUGAUUUCCUUCCUUAAGAUUUCCGCUUCUUAGUGUCUUUCUAGAGACACCGUAUGUUUGAAAAAAAUUAGAUUACAAUCUUUCUAGCGGGCUAAACGCUGCAAAAUGUGUCAUCUUCGCUUUCUGAAUGAUACGCAACACUUAAAGUGGGCAAGAGAAGACCAGGCCAAGAGGGAGAGAAGCUACUGGGAAUAACUUUUGGGGAAUAUGUAUUGGCAUGGUAACCUUAGAAGUCAUCCUCCGUUUGGAGAGUCACUUGUGUAACACUGAUUCAAUAGAAAUACAUAUUUUAACAAUAGAGGAAUAAAUGUACUAAGGGCCGUAUCCUGCUCACAAUGCAUGUAUUAUAAAAGCAAAAUUAAGGGUGUUCAUGCAGUGGAUAGACAUAUCGGGUGAGGAAAGGAAGAGGUGACAGACCUGUGCCCAAACUUGAUAGCAAAGAUCCCAUUGACUUCAGUGAUGCAGGAUCAGGCUCCUGAAGAAUGAUCUUAUGCUCUUCAGAAAGAUCCUGUGUCACACUUCAAGUACAAACCCUAGUCUGAUUCUUGGAUAAAAAAAACACAGGCAGUGAUAAGGGGAGGAUCAGGACUCUAAUAGCAGAGAAAUUAGAGGGAUGCUGGUUAUCUAGAAAUCAUAUUUUGUCAGUACAAUAAUAGCAAAAGAUAUAUUGCUCUUCUUAUUGAGGAUUAAAAAUGAAAGAAAUUAGAAAUAAAAUUUGUGUAUCCCUCUACGUGCUUCAUUUACCUUUUGCAUUUCUCUCAGUUUGGACAAUAAUCAUUGUUACAGUCGAUUUCACUUGUGUUUGCAUUCAGUUUCAUGUUUGUGAUGCUACCGUGUCUUGGUUUUAAAAGUUUAUUUAAAAACAAGUUAUAUUUUUUAAUUAAAAAUAAACAGAAACAUUUCCUAAGCACCAGGCUUUGUAAAAGCAGGUUUUUGCAAAAUCUAAAUUAUUAUGCCCUGUUUAAGUUGACAUUGUCCCCUUUGUGUCUCAGCUAAAGAACCAGUAACCAAAAGGGUAUUUUUAGAAAUGGAAAAAAAAAAUUACUUGUAAUUUGGAAUUUGAAAGGGGAAAUGUAGGCAUUGUCCAUUUAGGCUCUUUUGAGAAGACACUGAAUGAAUGCAGCUCGGGAAUGGUAAAAGGAUCCUGUCAGAACAAUUUAGACUCCAUGUUUAGGAAUUACAAAAGCAAAGUUUUAGAAAAUGCCAGUAAACAUGUAGACUUGUUUUUAAAGAGUGCAUUUUUUCUCCACAGUUAACUAAUCCUAUGCAAUAUUUGCAAUCCAGACAUUGCAGCAUGAAGUAAAUGCUCUCAGCAUGAAGUAAAUGCUCUCAGAACCAGAAAGUCAGUCAAAUUUAGCCUCUUUUUGGCUAAGAGUUGGACUGAGUGAAAUGCAGACAGUAAAUACACAUCAUAAGCAGUGACUUUUAAACUAAAAAUUUACAUUUUUUUUCAGUUUUAAUAGUUACAUGAAAAGUCAUUCUUUUAUGACAUGGUUUUUCAUCCAAUAUAGUCUCUUAAAAAUAAGUUGACUUAAAAGGAACAUUUUAAAAAAGAUGUGCCUGUUGUACAUGGUGACAGCUAUGUCUUUCUUAUACUGUAGAUAUAGUUCCCUCUUGCUUAUUUUACAGAACAGAUGUUGAUUUUUUGUGUUGCUUUAUCAACAAGUGUUUUUGAUCUUAAAACUAUUAGUCAUUCCAAAAUAGUUACAACAUUACAAGUUCGAUAAAUAUUUAAAUCUCUACAUUCUUUAUUCCAUUACAUUUUAUGAUCAAUCAAGACAUUUUACUCUUUGUUAUGGCUUCCCUAGUCUUCAUGCUGUUGUUCUUAGCUAAGAUGCCUCUCUUUUUUUUUUAAAACGAGCCUCUGCCUCUAAUGUAGUAUGAAAUACAACCACAGUACUUACCCAUCUCUAAAUACUGCAUUCAGCAGAAGGACUUGACAAAGAAGAACCAUCAUCCUGUUCUUAAAUUGUGGCUCAGUUCAUCUUCUUGCAUUUGGUUUUGUAGUAGGAACAAUUACAAUGUUAGCAUAUAUUUAUAAUAAAUGGAGUCUGUGGGUGUCAAUUGUUUCUGCUUUGGGAGUCACCCAUUAUUAAAGUAUUGGGCUGAGAUUAAAGUAAUGGACCAUUCAUUUCUGUUCCCAGCUCUGUCACUGAUUUGCUAUACGACCCUUCUACACCUCAGUUUACUUCAGCACUCUAUGAAUCAAAUGAGAGUUUGGAGCUCUCUAACUAUAUUAAGUCUGACUCGGGUCCCCUAAAGGCUUUACAGUUGUACUUUAAGGAAGGUUGUGGGGACAGGUACUGCCAGGCACGGCUCCAUUUGGAGAACAGUAACAGGGUAGUCCUACUAAAGCAGUAGUAGGCCCCAGAACUGGCAUGGAAGUAUAGCAUCUCUGCAUGGAUAGCUUUAUACCGCAGGGAUUACUUUCACACCUGCAGGAUUUUAGCACCAGAACUCCUCAAUCCUUCUGCAUGAGGAUGUUUCAAAGCCUCAGGCAGAAAUUGUGAAGGGACCUUCAAGUGUUAUUAACUGUGGCAUCUUCUUUUUUAUGAGAGAUCAUUUGUACCUGCUAAUGCAACUUGGUUUCCAGCUUCAAUGAUAAUAGCAUUGUGGUUUCCCAUAAUGUUUCAGAAAUGGGCAUAUCUCAUUAACUUGAGUCUGAAACUGAUUGUCAUCUGCAGAUAGGUGGUACUUAGUGAUGAUCAUUUUCAAAACAAUCAAAGGGAUGCUUGAAGGGCUGUUGCUUCCCAGGUACAUUUACUUUUUAAAAAAGAGAUUAAGCAGAUUUUUACAGACUGUUUAGAUGAUAUUAUAAAAUUUGACCCCAGGAGUUUUGACACAUCUGCAACAGAUCAAUUCACGAUGGGGAUAAUCUCUCUGUUCUGUAGGCCAAUGAUUUGGAAACUUGGGCCGUUGGUUGUUUAAAAUCACAGACUCUACAUUUUUCUUAAACUUGUAAAUUAAAAUAAAUUGUUUGCCCGAUACAAUGAGAGACUUUUCUAGGUUGCUUUUGACAUAUCCCCAGUUCAGUUUUCUUUCUUUUUUAAAAUUAAAGCAAGUCUUACAAAAAUCUGUUGGGUUUUUUUUUAUUUAAUCAGAACAAGGUAUACUUUGACAAACAGGAGCAUCAGAUUAAAAUGAAUCAUUGAAAAGGCAAAUUUUUGUAGUGGUUUAACAGUGUUGGGUGGGAGGCAUGAUGGAAAUGAUGCUUGUUAAGUCACUGAAGUGCAUCUGCGAAUCUCACCAAUACAAAACUGCUCGCAAGAAUAACAUCUUGAUUACAGGGCUCUUUCCCCAACAAAGGUUUCUGAUAAUACAGAAAACAUAAGGAAUGAACUAUGCACAGUUUUUGACAGUUAUCUUUUUAUAUCCUUAAAUAUCGAGGCCCUGUUAUUCCCCUUGAGGUUAAUGGGAUUUUGCAUGUGCAUCAACUGAAAAAAUAGGCCCAUAACAAUAUAGUCUCUUAAAAUCUCACAUAACCACCAUUAACACUAAUUGGAGUUAUCCAGAGAGAAAGCAUGUGCGCAUAUGGAUUUUAUUUAAAUCCAUCAGCCAUCCUUUGUUAGGCAGUUAUGAAGCAGCUAAAAAAUGUUUGGUUAACUGAAGAGGCUGGCUCCAUUGAGCAGUCAGAUUUUUUUUUUUACUCCCUCUGGUGAAUGUGAGAAUGACACCCAGGCUCGGGGUCAUUAAAAAUUUGUUAGCAAACUUUUUUGUUAGCAAAUUUGUUAGCAAAAUUUUUACCCAGAAAUGUAGGCGCAACCCAGGUAACUGUAUUCUUUGCAGAUUCAUGUAGAUGUAGUAUAGUUCCUCUCCUAAACUAUUAUGUAGCUUUUCUGUGCUGUUAAAAGCAAAUGCUUCAUAUCAUCUCAGAGGCAGCCGCAUUACAAUAGUGAAUGAAUUGAUUACUCAUAUUGCCCUCUUCUUUUGAGGGGUUAAUUAGAAUGCUUUGAGGUUCUUGGACCAAAUACUUUCCAGAAGUGUAUCAUAUUUGUGUUUCUAUUAUGUAAAAACUAUAAAUCCUGUGAAAGAUUCCAUGUGCAUUAAAUUCUUUUUUCUUCCCAAACUAUUUUUAUUUUAAACAUCUUGAUUAUACUUGCCCUCUUCAACACUGAGAGCAUUUCCCCACCUAUGCUUUGAAGAAGUAAUAGGCCAUUUAAUUGUGAUUCUUAAGAGGGAUUUUAUUUAAUUUUUUUUCUUGAACCUAAGGUUAAACCUCUAGAGUGCUUUACUGUGUAUUAAUAGGUCCUGUAAUGACUGUUCUGUUAUUGGAGUGUGCUUGCUUUCAUACUGUUAUUUUGCCAAACUGCUCACAUGAUCACACUAAAAGCAAAAGCAGCAGAGGCUUUUGUACAUGGGAAUAAAUGGUAUUCCUAGUAUCUAUCCUGGAUGUCAGUGAGAAAUAAUCUCUUGCUUUUCCAUGUCACCUUUUCUCUUUGGGUUGUUCUGUACAUGUUUGCUUUGUGUUUUUUCUCCUUGCCAAUACAUUCCCUGGCCAAGAGAGAUGUGUCAAAAAUUGGAUGAAACAGAAUUAGAGUUCUGAAACAGCAGAUGCUCUUUGAGCCAUGUUACCGUCUGUCUUAUGCAAUGCAAUCACAAUUAUGUAAUAUGACUGGUUAUAAAAAUAAUGUGGGUCCCAGGACAAUAAACAGGUCUGACUACAAACUGGCAAUCCACGACACAUUACUAAAAUAUAACUGAUCAGUGCUGAAUGUUAUAAUGGAGUAGUUUGCCUCUAGUUACCGUUUAACUAAAAUUGGCUACUAUACAAACAUUUUAAUGUCUUUAAUAUUACAACAUAUUUGGUGAUUAUAUAAAAUGAACGCAGACUGCAUGCUAAUUGUACAAAAAUAUUUCUGCUACUCCUCUUCUUACUUCAUUAGGAAGAAAAAACUGUACUCAACUUUAAUAAGGAAUUUUGUAGGGAAGUAAACAUCAGAGUCAUACAUUAGAACUGCAAGGGAAAAAGCUGCCCAGGGUACUUCAAUAAUUAAUAUUGGAGUUGAAAAAGUUAACUAGAUUGCAGGAUUAACACUGUUUUUGUUUAUACUGGAUGGAAAGCAUAGCUGCAGGCAACUAAUGACUGAACUACUUAAUGUUUUCAAGCUCUGGCACUGCUCAUCAGUUCUAAACUUUGCAUGCAAUCAGUUGGAAAGUUUCAAGAUUUCCAAUAUACAGCAGGACUGAAAAGCUGACUGGUAAAAUUGUGUUUGCUUUUAUCUCCUCUGCCACCCUGAUCAUAGGAGAAACCUGCUUGAACCCAGACAACACAGAGCUGGGAAGCAUCUGUACUUCUUGCAGACUUGUAUCCAGAAAGGGAAAUGUGCUGUAGACUGGAUAAAACAGUGGUCAAACCUCAAGAAAUUAAAAAUAGGAAUAGUGAGAUCUAGUUCUGUAUUCUAAAGCUAGCUUUUUGACCUUUUUUUUCCUCUAAGGAAUGAUCCAAUAAGAAGUCUCUCUCAGUACCACAGUCUUUUUUUCCUGCAAGUUGAGCUUUUACUAUGUACUUUACAAUAAAUAACUUAAGCAUUUAAUUCUAGAACAUCGUCUUUUGUAGGCUGUCUACUCCCAAAGUGAUUUAACUAAAAAUAAAAGCAAUAGAGGAAAAUAAGAAUUGGCGUCUUACUUCCUUGGCACCAUCUCUUGGGUUGUUCCUGUUCCCUCAAGCUAAGCUUUUCUCAUUGAGGUACAAACCUGAAGUAAGAGUGGCAAGUGGCCCUUAACUGUAGUGUUAUGAAUACUGUGCAGUAUGAUUUAUAUUAUUUUUCAGCUCCAGGGAAGGUUUGUUCCUCUCACUUUCAAUCCUGACUCAAGGUGAUAAAUGGCCAGAAAAUGGUCUAGUCUGGUAUUUAAUGAAAAAUUACAUUUUUUUUCUUUUCUUAUUCUGUUUCCCAAUAGGGGAAAUGGUAGGUGACUAUGAUUGAUCUGUCCAAGAGUAUCGUAUUUGCAUGUAAGGAGGGUAUUAAAUUACUAAUUUAUUUGGGAUCAAAGGUCUUUCAUCCAUACCAUCUUUUUAAUUGGAUAAUGUUGAUACAGUCCUUAAUUUCAGUUGUACUUAACUGCAGUUUCUUUUAUUUUUUUGACAAGAUAUAUUCUACUUACAAAUGUUAUGCCUUUCAUAUGAGCUGAAAAUUGGGAGGGAGAAGUGAAAAAUGAUCAUCAUUUGAUUUGAGAAAGGAAAAUUAAAAUGUGUUACAAACUGCAAACUUAAGUUCAGUUCCCAUUGAACUCUGUAGAAAACUUGCCAUUUUCUUCAAUGGGAACACAAUUAGAUAAAUUGUUUGCAACUGUCUGAAACAAAGAGGUUCAAAUCCUACAUCCUGGGUGCAAAUAAAAGCAUAUGGUUGGAAUUUUAAGUAGCAUUAUUGAUUAACAGCUCUGAUCACCUUUCUGUUUGUAUUGUAGUAGGGCCUAGAGGCUCCAACCAUCUAGGUCCCAUUGUGUUAGAGGCUGCCCUGAACACAAGAAAAAGAUAGUUUGUGUUCCAAAGAGCAUACAGAGUCAUCUUUGUUCUGCUGUCUGUUGAGAUGGACAUAUCCAAGUACAAUAUAAAAGUGUUUGUACUGGCCAAAAUGGGCAAGUCAGGAGAUCUACAUUUUUAAAGAUUCAUCAAGACAUACUGUUGUUUUAUGAAUAGAUAUGUCUGCUAUUUAUGGAGCAGUGGGUUUUUCACUUGACUAAUUCCAUCCCACAUCCUUGAACAGUUUGGCUAUUUCUCUGUUGUCUACACAGAGAAGAAAAAAGAAUAAACAAACAGACCUAGCCAUUAGAAGAUGAAUUUGUUAGAAUUUUUCCAAAGUAUGUUUGUUAAAUCAUAGAAAUGAGGAAGUUCUAAAAUAUCUGCAACAGAACAAGAAGUCUCCAGAUGACUGCUUAUCAUUUCCAGACUCACAUGGAACACAGGGAGUUUGGUGGUGUGGUCCCUGAUGGAAAGAAUUACGAGUAGAAAUACAAAGCUGUGUCACAACUUAACUUUCUGCCAUAAGUUGUAGGAACCAACAUUUCAACUGUUAUGGAAAAUGUAUUUUAGAGUUUCAACAAGCAGAAAUAUUAUGCUGUGCUAGGAAUACAGAAGAGAUGUCUCCAUAAGCAAUGAGUUUAGGGAUAAAUAGAAGUAGUGAUUACCUCAGAUUGUUUUCCAGAGGGCAUGUCUACAUGGGUCCUUUAAUGCGUAGUAGCCUAUUUUACUGCACAUUAAAAGCAGCAUGUAAAAAACUGCGAUUAUGCUAAUGCACAGUAAAGUAGGCUACUGCGCAUUAAGCAUCACUUAAAAAUCAUGCACAUUUGUUACUGUGCAUUAAGGCAGCCCAAUGCACAUUCCUUUAGUACCUUACAUUGGAGGUACUAAAUUUAAUGCACAUUAGAAAAAGCACCUUAAUACACAUGUAGACAUGCCAAGAGAGGACCAUAACAUUUUAGGUUUAAAGGUAAGAAGGCAUACUAUCUCAUUUGACCUCCAUUGAGUCAAAAGUGAAGAGCUGCCUUCUGUUACUCUCCCAAAGUAAAACAUAUUGGUUAAAACAGCCAGUCAUUCUUCUGUGUUUUCUUAAGCUUUGUCCAACCCUUUGGGCUAGGGAAGCUCAAUAAAGAGGAACCACUUCUAUCUCCAUGGAGGGUCACAUAUUACCAGUUACUGUACACCUGUACCCUCUUCACUGCAGUCUAUGGAGAGAAGAAAGGGUAACAUUUUAAAGAAAGGUUGGCCCAAAAUGUACCACUACACUUGUUGGUCAAAGGAGGACUGAGUCUGUAAUAACUAAUCUAUUCCUCAUCCCUGGUACAUUGUUCAUCAAAAAAUAAAUUUUAAGUGUUUUGAUCCUGUCUCAUUAGUGUUAACCUUUCUCCAUUCAACUGAUCAUAAAUGACCCAAGUGAUCAUUUAGAAUAUUGAUGAUCUCGGAAAUCACAUUAUAUAUUAGCUUCAGAAUAACACUUUUGGAUAUCAGUAUAUAUGUUAUCAUCUCCCGCAAAAUGGAGUCAGAUGAGCUCAGUUCCACUUUUUCUUAAUAAACUUGGUAAAAUAGACAUUCUGCAUCAAUAAAUGUGCUGACAUAUGUUGCACUUUUUGUAAAGGAGUUAAGUGGAAAACAUAAAGCAAACCACAAAUUCAGUUCUAAAUCUGUCCCCUGGGAUUAGAGACCUGAUUUUUAUGGAUUAGGUAUUGAUCUCUAAAGGACUAUUGAAUGGCCUAAAAUACUUUCUGGCCUCAUCUACAUGAGCAGCGGUCUAUGCAGUUGUCACUGUGCAUUCAGUUAGUACUUGCAUAACCAAGUACUAAAUGACUGCUCAGUAACUGGCGUUACGGCGCAGUUGCAUCCCUGCACGUUUUUUUUUAGAUGCUACUGUACAGUAGCAACAAAUUACUGUGCAGUAGCAUCUCGUCUAGACACGUUCUCUGACAACAAAAACAGCUCUGUAUUAGGAGGAAGCCUAACAUAAGAAAUACAUUUUUAAUUGUGGAAGGCCAGAACUAUGCAACAGAAUAUAUAAGCAUGAAAUAAGUUUGGGUUUUUGUAUAGUAUUAAAUAUAAUUGAAAAUUUAGCAUAAAAUGCAUUUUUUGUUGUUUUUUUAACUGAUUUCUGAUCAGAUUUAUUUGAGAAAAAUGUUCUUAUAUGAGAGUAAAAUUAAUCAGUCUGAUUGUUAGUUAUUUUAUUCCUGAAUAUCUGGUUUUGUGUAAAAUGUAUUUGAAACUGUCCAUAACUGUAAAUAGUUUGCUUCAGAAAACUAAUGAAGCAACGUAGUUUCUGCCUGCAUGCUGCUGAUGUAUUGUUGUGCUGUGUUUUAGCAGUUAUUCAUGUACUCAUAGCUAAAGAAAUGUAAUAAAGGUAUAAAAUUAAAUUAAAUUGUUUAGCUUU